Molecule: ribosomal RNA, 301 nt
Filed under: uncultured bacterium
Lineage: Bacteria
Description: partial 16S ribosomal RNA
Rfam family: Bacterial small subunit ribosomal RNA
Source: RNAcentral
CAGCAGCCACGGUAAUACGAAGGGGGCUAGCGUUGCUCGGAAUUACUGGGCGUAAAGGGCGCGUAGGCGGACAGUUCAGUCGGGGGUGAAAGCCCGGGGCUCAACCUCGGAAUUGCCUUCGAUACUGGCUGUCUUGAGUAUGAGAGAGGUGUGUGGAACUCCGAGUGUAGAGGUGAAAUUCGUAGAUAUUCGGAAGAACACCAGUGGCGAAGGCGACACACUGGCUCAUUACUGACGCUGAGGCGCGAAAGCGUGGGGAGCAAACAGGAUUAGAUACCCGGGUAGUCCCUGUCUCUUAUAC